CCUGGCUCAGGACGAACGCUGGCGGCGUGCCUAAUACAUGCAAGUAGAACGCUGAAGGAGGAGCUUGCUUCUCUGGAUGAGUUGCGAACGGGUGAGUAACGCGUAGGUAACCUGCCCAUCAGAAGGGGAUAACAUUCGGAAACGAUAGCUAAUACCGCAUAAUAGUAGAUGUUGCAUGACAUUUGCUUAAAAGGUGCAAUUGCAUCACUACCAGAUGGACCUGCGUUGUAUUAGCUAGUUGGUGAGGUAACGGCUCACCAAGGCAACGAUACAUAGCCGACCUGAGAGGGUGAUCGGCCACACUGGGACUGAGACACGGCCCAGACUCCUACGG
Molecule: ribosomal RNA, 334 nt
Filed under: uncultured bacterium
Lineage: Bacteria
Description: bacterial SSU rRNA
Rfam family: Bacterial small subunit ribosomal RNA
Source: RNAcentral